This 1482-nucleotide long non-coding RNA is filed under the name Homo sapiens (human). Its description in RNAcentral is "HSALNT0170025". The record is from RNAcentral. Lineage: Eukaryota; Metazoa; Chordata; Mammalia; Primates; Hominidae.
CGUUUUCCUCUCUAUCUGCCUCCUUCAUUUAGACAGGAGUUGCCAGUGGGACCUGUGCCCCUGAUCCCAGCCUCUAAGAAUCACAUAUCAUCUCUCUUGCUUAAAAAGAGAAAUCCAGGGCUGACUCCCACCCAGACCCGUGGCAACCAUACCAUGUGGUUGCUGGCAGGAAAUCUCAGUCGGCAGGGCUGCACCUGCUGUGGGUGCUGUGGCCAGGCCGCUCACCGCACCCCUGCUGCUUGAUCUCUCUUGCUUCCUUUGUACAGCAUUGUGUCAAGCCUAAACUUCCAGUGGUGUUUUUUGAGGAAGGUCACAAGGUCCCUUUGGAAAGGAGAUUGGAGGACAGCCUAAUGAAACUUCAAGAAGCACCAUUUCAAAUACGGAGUGAGCUUCCAGGUGGCCUUCGGCUGCCCCCUUUAAGAAAUGUCCCCAUCUAAAGAAUGGCACACUCAGCAAAAGGAAAUGAAGAUCUUCCAAAGCUACUGAGAAGCCACCAGAAAUUUACAUGAUGAUCUUGAGGCUGGAACCUUUCAAAAGGCCAGAGCUGCAGUCUAGCGCUGGGCAGGACAGCUCCAGUGUCAUUUCUGCAAUGACAGGGGGUGUGCCCCCACUCCCAGGAAUUCACACGGGGUCCAGUAGCCUCCCUGCUACAGCAUCUGGGGGGCUUGACCACAGGAAACUGUCCCAGGCGAGAGGGCCUCAUGUCAGCACCUGCACAUCUCUGGCCACCCGCCUGCUUCACUCAAGCACAGCCUGGCACUGCAUCUUCUUACGGACCUCUGGUUUAUUGAGAGGCCACUCAAAGUCAUUUGCAGCUGAUCUUCCACACCUGCCAUUAAGCAGAUAAUUAGAAGAAGGGAAGCCUGGACCAAGGGCGUUCUACUCACCUCUUCCACCUGUGUGUGUGCUUCUAUGAGGCGCCUCAACGUGGGUCCAGUCUGCAGAGGAAUUCUGACUCUGGCUCACAGGUUGUACCACUCCACCACUGUGGGCGUGCCUCCUGGGGACCACUGUUUUCAUAAAGUAUAGAGUGAAUUCCGGGUGAUUCCUGGAGUCACAGAAAGCCGCGAUGACCAAGUCAUGGCUCCCAGGGCUGGGUGUGUUCAUGCCCCUGCACAGACCUGGUGUGAGGAGGGACAAGGGGCCGGGCACAGCAAUGCCCUCUAGGUAGAGGCCCUCUGAAUGAGGACCUCAAGGCAGCAUGAGUCACAGGUGCCUGGGCAGGUGCAGCUGCAGGAUCACCUCCAAGGUCCAGUAGAUACAGAACGGGAGGAAGCAAGUUCUUCCUGCUCCUUUCCUGGAUGAGCCUGAUUUUGGCAUGUGGCAGAUUUAUGAACUCUUCCGUGGAUUAUGGUGUGCCAGGGGAUGGACCAAUGUUACCAUCUGCCUAAGGGUUCUCCUUCCAUCUUAGUUUACCUUGAACGAAGUACAAAUAAAACCUUACGUUUGUAUGAUGCUUUAUGGUUUAUACGGUAUUUCUGC